GGGUGCUACCAUAUCAGCAUUAAUGCAUCAUAUUCCAUUAGAACUCGAUAGUUAAGUAUGCUUGGGCAAGAAUAGUACUAAAAUGGGUAACCUCCUAGAUAGUCCUCAUGCUGCAUCCC
Molecule: ribosomal RNA, 119 nt
Filed under: Nelumbo nucifera (sacred lotus)
Lineage: Eukaryota; Viridiplantae; Streptophyta; Magnoliopsida; Proteales; Nelumbonaceae
Source: RNAcentral